AUUGAACGCUGGCGGCAGGCCUAACACAUGCAAGUCGAGCGGAUGAAGGGAGCUUGCUCCUGGAUUCAGCGGCGGACGGGUGAGUAAUGCCUAGGAAUCUGCCUGGUAGUGGGGGAUAACGUCCGGAAACGGGCGCUAAUACCGCAUACGUCCUGAGGGAGAAAGUGGGGGAUCUUCGGACCUCACGCUAUCAGAUGAGCCUAGGUCGGAUUAGCUAGUUGGUGGGGUAAAGGCCUACCAAGGCGACGAUCCGUAACUGGUCUGAGAGGAUGAUCAGUCACCCUGGAACUUGAACACGGUCCCAGCUCCUACGGGGGGCAGCAGUGGGGAAUUUUGGACAAUUGGCGGAAACCCGAUUCAGCCAUGGCGCGGGUGUGGAGAAAGUCUUUCGAUUGUAAAGGACCUUUAGUUGGGAGGAAGGGCAGUAAGUUAAUACCUUGCUUUUUUGACCUUACCCAAAGAAUAAGCCCCCGCUAACUUCCUU
RNAcentral lists this ribosomal RNA (484 nucleotides) under uncultured bacterium. RNAcentral's name for it is "partial 16S ribosomal RNA". It matches the Rfam family "Bacterial small subunit ribosomal RNA", at positions 30 to 507 of the family's 1533-position model. The record is from RNAcentral.